This is a long non-coding RNA of Triticum aestivum (bread wheat), 3300 nucleotides long. RefSeq lists it as uncharacterized. The transcript has 3 exons. The record is from RefSeq and is a predicted model, not a curated record. NCBI's taxonomy places the organism in Eukaryota, Viridiplantae, Streptophyta, Magnoliopsida, Poales, Poaceae.
UCAAAUUAAAAGCAUUAACGUGUGCGGUAAGGGCGACUAACCGCGCAGUCCACGUGUCCCUGUUACUGUAUUGACGAGAGAGAGUUACGGCAGAUAACACCUUCCCGGGUUAAAGGCAGCGAUGGACCCUUUCCUUCCCUUCGAAGCAAGACAAAUAUCCCAGAUUCACGCGCACCGCCCCAUCCUCUCUCCCCUUCUUUCCUCUCGGCUCGUCGUUUCGGUGUCGGCGGCUCUCGUCGAUGAGCACGGCGGCGGCGCUUUGAGAGCCACGUGGGAGACAUCGAGGCGGAGGAAGACGGGUGGGAGGUUGGAUCCGGUCAUGGUGGCGUCGGAGCUUGGUGGACAAGCGGUGGCGUGUUGCUGGGUUGGCCGGUCGGUGUCGCGCGGAUCCGAUUCGAAUAGGUUGUUGGCGACGUGCUGUGGGAGCAGGACAAUGGGAUUUGCUCCGGACGGUCCUUGGGACGCUUGUGCGGCAGAAUAGCGGCUGCAGCGGCACGGCCGCGGGGAGCUGCGUCGACACAAACUACGGUGGCCUCCUCUGCAUCCUCCCUCCCCGAGCGCGUCCAGUUUUAUCCGCUCCCUUCCCAUCUAGGCCCUCUUCCCUGCGAGGUAGUCCUCUCUCGCCGAGUUUUAAGAUGAUGGCAUGUCUUUAGUCUCAUGACGAAAAUAAAAUGAAGGGGGGAAAACUGUUUGGAGGAGGGAAUGCAAUGGUUGACAAUAGGCGAACUGGAGGAUCGAGCAGUGUGGAGAGUUAGGACAACGCUGCAGCAUUGGUCUACCUGCCAUCGCUGUUGUGUUCUGAUGCAGAGGAGGUCAUGCAGCUGGUAUAGAAUGGGUAUAAUAUCUCCAUUUUUCUCUAUAUAUUUCUUGAUGGUUAAUUUGUUGAUUGGUAUUAUUUCGGUUGUGCAUGAUUAGUUUCUCCACAAGUGCACUUUCUAGAAUGACCGCACACAACUACUCUGAUAAAUCAUUGUUUUCACUGUACUCUUUUUCAUAUGCAUAUUCUUGACAACAAGAUGACAUUGUGAUAUCAACUAAUCUCGAAUUUCUGCUUCAUACAAUUGCUCCUGAACAUGACCAACAGUGAAAGGACAACCUCUGUGUGAUUGAAUAGUUAACUUGGCUUUUAAAAUGCAAACAAAAUUUUGUAGGGCUAAUUUUAACUCUCAGAUAAAAGGGAGGUUCCACACGUUCCAGUCCCCAUCCUCGUAUCAUUGAUUCCCCUUGACCGUGAGAGGGAAAGGGUUGUUUAAAUAAGAACUACUUUUCAGUUUCCAUGUUUUGUUCUAUUGGUCCCCUUUUUUAUUUUCAGUUGUGGAGAUUUUAAUUAUAGAUCUAAGGAUUCAGGUUUGUUCCCAGCCUUUUGCUUGUAGUUUCUGUUGAACUAUCACUACUCUUAUUGUUUCAGUAACAUGAUUACAUAGUAAUCCAAUUUAUUCUUAUUUUCAACUCGCCAUAGGAAUCAAAGUGGUAGUAGCAGUUUCUGUUGAACAAUUACUAUUAUUUUAUUGUGUCAUAUACCUAAAUUUAUUCUUAGAGAAAACUUGGCAUGCAAACUGCAUGUGCUUAUGUACUGUUUCAGUAACAUGAUUACAUAGUAAUCCAAUUAAUAUGUAAGAGCCAAUAGGAAGCAUGACACUGUAGCUCUGUACUACUAUUUCAGUUACAUGAUUCUAUAUAGCUAAAAAAUUGUUACGCAAAUCUAUAAUUGUUGCUGGAGAAUGUAGCUUGCACUGAGUUUCUAUAAAACUGCAGUACAAGCUAAAGGUCUGCGAUCUCUGCAUCACAAUCUGCACUGACAGAAGAUGGAAGGAACAAAGGUACAAAUUCAAGUAUGUAUCUGCCAAACUUGAUAGGUUUAACUCUAGGAAUUUCAUUACUAUUGCCAUGGUGUACUAUUCUUUAAAGAAUUUGUAGGAUGUAGAAAAUAUGACUCGAUGAGGGAUCCGUUGGUUUAAAAAGACGUGGUAUGGAUAAGUUUCCUCUUUUCAUGUUCACUAGCCCCUUCUUAUUUAUAGUUCUGUAUCAUUUUUAUAUUUGGAUGCUUUAUUCAAAUGAAGAUGAGGUGGAUAGACAUGUACCUUUCUAUGAAAGAUAUGGCAAUCAGAAUGUUGUAGUUCUAAAAACAUCUUAUUGAUAUGUUCCUUCUAUAAUUUUGAUCGUAGUUAUUGUUAAGUAAGUGUGUGUUUCAUAUAGCCUAGCAUCUGCAAUUUCCUGCCAUGAAAUGAAUUUGUAUGGCAUUUGUUAGUGCACUAUCAUGGUUGCUCUAUGCUAGGCAGCAACAAGAACUCGUCCAUGCUAAGGCAGCUCCAUGCUUUGUAACCAAUCAUACAUUUAUAUUGGCUUGCUAACCUUCAUGGUCUGCUAUCUUGUAAUUUUAGGGACAACUUUCUAAGGUGUGAGCCAACUAUAUUUUCUUCCUAAGUGUUCAUAUAUUUUAUCAAACCAUAUGUAUUUAUUUUCUCUCCAUAUUUUAAUCCUAUAUAAAAGUACAUCCGUUCAUUAUUCGUUUUCUAUUACCUAUGAUAGUUGCAACUAAAAAGAAAUAAAAAUUGUCAAGAGGAUGUUGUAGUUCAACUAUUCAAACUUUAUGUUGCGGUUCUAUGAUUAUAUCCGAGUCUUUUGCUUUCUGUCAAACUACACUGCAAAUUAAUGUCUGGACAAGUGAAUCUCCGAAGAAUAUUCAAUUUUAUUUUAGUUAGGAGGCCCUGCAGUUUGCGGGUUACACAAUGCUACUUUAUCGACAGUCUUACUAGAAGCAUUUUAUUUCCUCCUAAUAGGAACAUUUCGACUUUAUCAAUAUCAAAUUCUACGUUGACUGUGGUUCUCUCUUCUACUGCCACAGCCCUCGACGGCAUCAUUUGCUGUACAUGUUUGAUUACAUAGGCAAAAGAAGAGAAACUGACAGAUAGGUUAAGGGACCAAAUGAAACAAUCUCAAUUUGACAACAUCACGCCACGAACUAGGGGAAGGAGGGGUGGGAUUGGACUUGGAGGGUUAUACGCUUAUGAAAUGGAGGACGUGGUGGAGAGCAAGCAAAGGUGGCAGUCGUCGAUGCCGUUGUCACCGGCAAGUCCAUCAGUGUGGCCUUCAUGUUUACGUGCUAGCAAGUGUGGGUAAAGAUUGAGAAGAUUUGAGCCCUCUGACAGUUUGGCUUUGUGAUUUGUAGUUCUUAAACUCAAUUACAGAAUCAAAAUUUUAGGCCUACAUUUAAUAAAUCCGGGUGUUGUAAAGUCCAGAUUCAAAAUUAAGUCCAUUGAUUUGAGAAAAAAAUACAGAGAAGAAAGUGAAAGGGGCGCA